Long non-coding RNA from Equus caballus (horse), 1854 nucleotides. RefSeq lists it as uncharacterized. Lineage: Eukaryota; Metazoa; Chordata; Mammalia; Perissodactyla; Equidae. The record is from RefSeq and is a predicted model, not a curated record.
UCUCCCAGAAACUGUGCUGUCUCACAACAUCUUUCUGAAUUAUCACUUUAUUUUUGAGACAAGAGUUUAAUCUUUCAAACGAAGUGUAUGCUGAUGGAAGAGGCCAGUGGUUCUGUAGGCGGAAGAGAAGAGCAGUGCUACCCUUGUGCGUGGGAGAAACAUUAAGAUGAAGGAAACAGCUAGUGGAGCCAGACUGCCUGGAUCUGAAAUUGGUUCUGCCACCAGCUAUAAUCAUUUACUGAGCAGACAUUGAACAAACUGCUGGGGAUGCUACUAUACUGACUCUGUGUAGGACCUAAUUGGAAAUUGAAGAAUCCAACGGAAAGCAAGAUGAAAAGGCAAGGGUGUACCUAUUGAUCCCAGAUCCAGGGAGCCAUCAUUUGUCAGUAGACCUGCCUUCAGAUGUUCCAUAGGGUCUUCAGAGUUUACAGAACAACUUAAGAUCACUCCAAACCAGAGUCAGAGACAUCCCUGCCACGUAGCACAUAGAUUUAUAACUCGGUGCAAAGGUUUCUACAAAUACGAUUUCUUCACUCCAAAGUCCAUCUAUGCAUGCUCCCCAAAAUAAAGAACAGUGUAUUUCUGUCUGCUGGCCUCUAACCCCAGGACCCUGGGAGCAGGGGCAGGAGGAGUUCCAAAAAGGUCUUCUUAUAGCUCUGGCAAUAAUGACUAGCUCAAACAGGCUGGCACUGCUGUCGAGACAUCCAAGGACUUUUUUAUUUAUCACUCUCUUUUUUUUUUCCAACUGAGAUAGAGUCCACACUGACACAAGCAGUCCAGAAAAAAGAAACUGUGUCUCUUGAAACUUUUACUUAGGUGGUGUAAAUGGGAAGAUCAUAACCCAAAGAUUUGGUGAAAAUACACUUCCUAUCCACACAAUCCGUUAUAAUGUUGCAAUUGAAAAGUUCUACUCAGAGAAAGAGAAUGAGUUCAAACAAACAAACAAAUAAAAAAACAGACAAGAUCUGGGAUUAGGUCUGAUGAUCUGGAACAUAAUAAAUUUCUGAUUCCAUAUCUGGGAUCCGGGUUCAUAGUCUGGGACAUAAAUCUGAAUCUUCAGUGGCUGUAUUACCCUGCCCCCCACCAUCUCCUCCCAUGAAGAUAGGCAACAGUGAAGGUGCUUGAAUUCUUUCAGGCCCCGUGAGUGUCACUGAGCAAUUUUUUUCUUUAGCAUCUCACAUAAACACUGCUGAAAUAACAGAUAAACUUCACCUGGGUGCCUGACUAGGGGAGUGUAGUUCAAAUAUCUGAAGUCCACGUGACAAUGCCAUCUGAGGAAAACUUGACUUAAAGCCAAUGUAAUGAUACUAAACCCACUCUUCUGAGCAAUUUUGUAUAAGGCAUCCAUUUGAGAGCUCAGCCCAAAUACUAGUGGAACUCAGUAUUAUGUUACAAUCUGACUUACCACAACGUCUUGCAGCAGAGUCCAGGCAGGUAUGGUGUUAACCUUUGAAUCAUGUAAUCUGGGCAGGAGCCAACCGGCCUAUGGAACCCCUGAAAAUGAAAAAUUACCCUCCAGAGAUGGGAAAGUGUGCGUGCCUUGGAAACUGUGAUAAGAGGCUCUUGGAAACUGACAACCACAUGAAUGCCUACAAUUUCUUCUCUAUUGAGAAGUUCACUGUCUAGGGGGGAAAGCACAUAAAAAAUAACAAUCAUAAAAAAAAUAAUUUAAGUGCUAUAUUAAAGGUAUGUUCAGGGUGCUGUCAGGACCCAGAAGAGGGACACCUCAUCCAGCCAGACAUUGAGGGCCAGGGAAGGCUGCCACUAUGUCUAGUUAUAAGAAAUUCAGAUACAGUUGGUGCAUCUUGCCUUGAAUGACACUUGUCUUCCAAAUAAAUCAAACUCUUCCCAGAA